RNAcentral lists this ribosomal RNA (497 nucleotides) under uncultured bacterium. Its description in RNAcentral is "partial 16S ribosomal RNA". It matches the Rfam family "Bacterial small subunit ribosomal RNA", at positions 28 to 507 of the family's 1533-position model. The record is from RNAcentral.
GAUGAACGCUGGCGGCGUGCCUAAUACAUGCAAGUCGAGCGGACGGACGAGAAGCUUGCUUCUCUGAUGUUAGCGGAGGACGGGUGAGUAACACGUGGAUAACCUACCUAUCAGACUGGGAUAACUUCGGGAAACCGGAGCUAAUACCGGAUGAUAUUUUGAACCGCAUGGUUCAAAAGUGAAAGACGGUCUUGCUGUCACUUAUAGAUGGAUCCGCGCUGCAUUAGCUAGUUGGUAAGGUAAAGGCUUACCAAGGCAACUAUGCAUAGCCGACCUGAGAGGGUGAUCGCCCACACUGGAACUUGGACACGGUCCAGACUCCUGCGGGAGGCAGCAGUAGCGAAUCUUCCGCAAUGGUCGAAAGCCUUACGGAGCAACGCCGCGUGAGUGAUGAAGGUCUUCGGAUCGUAAAACUCUGUUAUUAGUGAAGAACAUAUUUGUAAGUAACUGUACACAUCUUGACGGUACCUAAUCAGAAAGCCACGGCUAACUACGUG